RNAcentral lists this ribosomal RNA (441 nucleotides) under uncultured bacterium. RNAcentral's name for it is "partial 16S ribosomal RNA". It matches the Rfam family "Bacterial small subunit ribosomal RNA", at positions 338 to 795 of the family's 1533-position model. The record is from RNAcentral.
CCUACGGGGGGCUGCAGUGGGGAAUAUUGCACAAUAGGGGAAACCCUGAUGCCGCGACGCCGCGUGAGUGAAGAAGUAUUUCGGUAUGUACAGCUCUAUCAGCAGGGAAGAAAAAAGACGGUACCUGACUAAGAAGCCCCGGCUAACUACGUACCAGCAGCCGAGGUAAUACGGAGGGGGCAAGCGUUAUCCGGAUUUACUGGGUGUAACGGGAGCGAGGACGGUAUGGCAAGUCUGAAGUGAAAGCCCAGGGCUUAACCCUGGGACUGCGUUGGAAACUGUUAGACUAGAGUGCUGGAGAGGUAAGUGGAAUUCCUAGUGUAGCGGUGAAAUGCGUAGAUAUGAGGAGGAACACCAGUGGCGAAGGCGGCUUACUGGACAGUAACUGACGUUGAGGCUCGAAAGCGUGGGGAGCAAACAGGAUUAGAUACCCCUGUAGUC